RNAcentral lists this transfer RNA (72 nucleotides) under Camelus bactrianus (Bactrian camel). It matches the Rfam family "tRNA". From Rfam's summary of the family: Transfer RNA (tRNA) molecules are approximately 80 nucleotides in length. Their secondary structure includes four short double-helical elements and three loops (D, anti-codon, and T loops). The record is from Rfam by way of RNAcentral. RNAcentral also lists the same sequence under 2 other names. Lineage: Eukaryota; Metazoa; Chordata; Mammalia; Artiodactyla; Camelidae.
GAGGGUACAGCUCAGUGGUAGAGCACAUGCUUAGCAUGCACGAGGUUCUGGGUUCAAUCCCCAGUACCUCCA